UACGAGGGGGGCAAGCGUUGUUCGGAAUUAUUGGGCGUAAAGGGUGCGUAGGCGGUUUGACAAGUCUAAUGUGAAAUCUAUGGGCUCAACCCAUAGUCUGCAUUGGAAACUGUCGGGCUUGAGUAUGGGAGAGGUGAGUGGAAUUCCGGUGCAGCGGUGAAAUGCGUAGAUAUCGGAAAGGAACACCUGCGGCGAAGGCGGGAUCUCUGGGCCGAAACGUGGAACGCUGAGGAGGCGAAAGCGGUGGGGAGCCGAAGACGG
RNAcentral lists this ribosomal RNA (261 nucleotides) under uncultured bacterium. RNAcentral's name for it is "partial 16S ribosomal RNA". It matches the Rfam family "Bacterial small subunit ribosomal RNA", at positions 524 to 777 of the family's 1533-position model. The record is from RNAcentral.